UACGUAGGUGGCAAGCGUUGUCCGGAUUUAUUGGGUUUUAAGGGUGCGUAGGCGGCCCUGUAAGUCAGUGCUGAAAUAUCCCAGCUUAACUGGGAGGGUGGCAUUGAUACUGCGGGGCUAGAGUACAGAUGAGGUAGGCGGAAUUGACGGUGUAGCGGUGAAAUGCUUAGAUAUCGUCAAGAACACCUAUAGCGAAGGCAGCUUACUAGGCUGUAACUGACGCUGAGGCACGAAAGUGUGGGGAUCAAACAGG
Molecule: ribosomal RNA, 253 nt
Filed under: uncultured bacterium
Lineage: Bacteria
Description: partial 16S ribosomal RNA
Rfam family: Bacterial small subunit ribosomal RNA
Source: RNAcentral